This 272-nucleotide long non-coding RNA is filed under the name Gossypium barbadense (sea-island cotton). RNAcentral describes it as "long non-coding RNA (GBAR_LNC011125)". The record is from RNAcentral. Lineage: Eukaryota; Viridiplantae; Streptophyta; Magnoliopsida; Malvales; Malvaceae.
AUAAGACUGUCUCUUAGACUUUUUACCUUGGACAAGUACUCAUUGACUGUAAGAUUUGCUUUCUUGAGUGAGUAUAGAGCAUGGCACAUACUCGAAAUCUUGAUAUUAGUUUUGGCACCAAAUCUUCUUUUAAUGGUCGUCUAGAUCUCAAAACUAGUCUUGGCUAUUGUGAGAUGAACCAAGAUGUCAUUUGUGACUGUAGAGAGUAGCCAAGAUGUCAAAAACUUGUCUUGUUUCUUAUGAACAAGAAAUGUAGGAUUAGCAACUAACUG